This is a non-coding RNA of Bos taurus (domestic cattle), 72 nucleotides long. NCBI's taxonomy places the organism in Eukaryota, Metazoa, Chordata, Mammalia, Artiodactyla, Bovidae. The record is from Rfam.
UCCUUGGUGGCUCAGAGUUUAAAGCAUCUGCCUCCAAUGCAGGAGACCCAGGUUUGAUCCCUGGGUUGAGAA